Molecule: non-coding RNA, 73 nt
Organism: Toxotes jaculatrix (banded archerfish)
Lineage: Eukaryota; Metazoa; Chordata; Actinopteri; Toxotidae
Source: the annotation of a RefSeq genome assembly
GCCUGGUUAGCUCAGUUGGUAGAGCAUGAGACUUAAUCUCUCAGGGUGGUGGGUCUGAGCCCCACUCCAGGCA